GUUCUUGUUUCAUGUUUCAGAUGUUUUCUUGACCUGCUUUACAUUUGUAUCUUGCUCUUGAAUCCCAGGCCUCAAAACUGAAUAUUGGCUUUGUUAUGCUUAAUUUUACUGUUUUAUGGUGGUUUUUUUUGCCCACGUGAUUAUGGCAAAUAGUUAACAUUCAGCACAUUUUAAACUUUUUUUUUUUUUUCAUAGAAUUACAGAAAGUCAGGGAUUGGAAGGGACCUCAAAAGCUCAUCCAGUCCAAUCCCCCUGCCAGAGCAGGAACACCUAGAUGAAGUUACAGAGGAAGGCGUCCAGAGUAGAAGACAUUUUAAUCCUUAUAUGUCUUGAUACUUGCUUGUGUCAUCUAGAUAAUCCCUCUGGGUCAGCCCAGCUGGGCAGAUGAGUUGUACCAAGGCUGUUUCACCUGUCCAGUCUGGCAGCUGGGCACUGGGUGGCAGUGACCAUCAGCGAUCGCUAACAGGAUGAAAACACAGGCUACCUGAUAAACAUGGUCUGAGCUCGCUGUAUCCUUUUCCUUAUCAUCUGGCUCAUUACUGGAGGAAGGGAUCACUUCUGGUUCCUGCCAAACCUCACAGCAGAUGUGGGAUUCAUUGACUCCUUCAGGGCC
Molecule: long non-coding RNA, 613 nt
Organism: Columba livia (rock pigeon)
Lineage: Eukaryota; Metazoa; Chordata; Aves; Columbiformes; Columbidae
Exons: 2
Source: RefSeq, a predicted model, not a curated record